AGAGUUUGAUCCUGGCUCAGGAUGAACGCUAGCUACAGGCUUAACACAUGCAAGUCAGGGGCAGCAUUUCAGUUUGCUUGCAAACUGGAGAUGGCGACCGGCGCACGGGUGAGUAACACGUAUCCAACCUGCCGAUAACUCGGGGAUAGCCUUUCGUAAAGAAAGAUUAAUACCCGAUGGUAUAAUCAGACCGCAUGGUCUUGUUAUUAAAGAAUUUCGGGUUAUCGAUGGGGAUGCGUUCCAUUAGGCAGUUGGUGAGGUAACGGCUCACCAAACCUUCGAUGGAUAGGGGUUCUGAGAGGAAGGUCCCCCACAUUGGAACUGAGACACGGUCCAAACUCCUACGGGAGGCAGCA
This 356-nucleotide ribosomal RNA is filed under the name uncultured bacterium. Its description in RNAcentral is "bacterial SSU rRNA". It matches the Rfam family "Bacterial small subunit ribosomal RNA", at positions 8 to 353 of the family's 1533-position model. The record is from RNAcentral.